UUUAGAUGAUGUUUGGAACAAGAAUUAUGAUGAUUUGAAUGCCCUUUGUUCUCCAUUGAUGUAUGGAGCACCAGGAAGCAAAGUGAUCUUGACAACACGUGAUGAAGCUGUUGCACGAACAAUGGGGAACACUGAAUUUCAAAAUUUAAGCUGCUUUUCUGAUGAACAUUGUUGGUCAAUUUUUGUUGACCAUGCUUUUGGCAGGAGGAGAAUUGCAGAUCCAAAUUUAGAAGUCAUUCAUGAAAAGGUUAUAAACAAGUAUAGUGGCUUGCCGUUGGCGGCAAGGACUUUGGUUGGCCUUCUACGCUCGAAACCAAGGGAGGAAUGGGAAAAUGUAUUGAAUAGCAAAAUCUGGAAUUUACAAGGUGGAGGCAACAGCAUUCUUCCCGUAUUAAGAUUAAGUUACUAUCAUUUGCCUUCGCAUUUAAAGAGGUGUUUUGCUUAUUGGGCAAUAUUUCCCAAGGAUUAUGUA
RNAcentral lists this unclassified non-coding RNA (472 nucleotides) under Hevea brasiliensis (rubber tree). Lineage: Eukaryota; Viridiplantae; Streptophyta; Magnoliopsida; Malpighiales; Euphorbiaceae. The record is from RNAcentral.